UUAAAUUAAAACACAUAAAUAAAGUAAAAUUUAUCUAACACAAAGUCCAAUUGAAAUACAUGAAUAUUAAUUUUAAUAAAAGAAUAAAGUAUGUUGCUUCCCCAAAUGUUAGUGCUAAUAACUUCACUCUUGAAUAAAUUUCCAUCUUUAUGUACCUGAAAAAAAAAGAAAAAAAUUGUAAUUUUAGUACUUAUUUUUUUUUAUUAAAUGAAUUAGAAAACAUAUAUUGUAAAUGUUAAUAAUAAAUUAAAUAUUAAUAAAACAAUAAAAAGAAAAAUAAGUAGUGAUUGAGAUACUUACUCCAAUUCUUCUUUGGCUACAACCACAAGAAUUCAGACCAAGAGAUAUAAAAUUCUGAGUAGUUAACCUCUCAAAAAUCAAAGAAGAGUAGAUAAGAAAUUUCAUACUAGUACCGGAAAAUUAAAAAUAAAUAGGAACAUACUAAUACAUACAUGUCAUAUAGCACAUGGAGAAAUCCAAAUUUGUAAUGUCCUAAAUACAUAUUGAAAGUAAAGUAGAUUAUAUACCUUGUCUUGAGAUGUUUAUCAUCCUAGAUUUGAUCUUCUAUGGUAUUAAAUCAACAAAUUAUUUUUUAGAGAAGACACACACAGAUACACACACACACACACACACAAAGGAUGAAAAUAUAGAAGAUUUUACUUAGGCAGAGGUUUGAUUGGGGUAUGAAGUGCAUAUAAUAAGAUAUGAUGAGGGAAAAUAGGGGAAAACUAAAUAUAGGUGGCAAUAAAAAGAGGGAUUUCGAAAUAAAAGAGGGAAUCUUGCCGCUACUUUUUCCUGAAACUUUGAAAAAAAUAGAAACUUAGCCAUGUUUCCAGCAACUUUAUAGCCCCACCAUGUGCUGUGAAUAAUAAUACUUUUUUCCAAUAUUUUCGUGGGAAAUAUCUGUAAGAAAACUUUUUCAUAAAGUACAAAAAAUUAAAAUUCAAAAUAUUUCGUCCAUACGGGAAUCUAUAGGAAUAUUUUAAUUUUUUUUUUAAUUUUUCCACCAUUUUCCCUCGGAAAUAAUUUUUUGUUUUAUAUAAUUAUUUUUUUAAUAAUUUUUCCCGCCUAAUCAGAGGGAACUAAAUAACGCGCAUUGCGCAAAAAUGUUCCCACGGAUAGUCAAUGUGAAACGUUAUAGUUUAUUCCUGAAAAAGAAAAUUCACUUUUUCCAUUGAAUUUCGGUGGGAAUUACCACUAACAAUUUAUCUGUGGGAAAUUUCUGUGGGAAAAUGUUGUGUUUCUAGUAGUGAGAUAAGUGACGAACCCUAAAUGUAAAUCGGCAUGGCCCUGGGCCCUUAAAGACCUUAGAGAAGGAAGACAUGGCAUGAGAGAAGCCAUUGGAGGCUUAGGAGACGAUGAGAGGUAACCGGAGAUGACCGGAGAAGAGAGGUUGGUGGUUGAAGGGAUAGGGUUUAGUUGAGCGUUACUCUGAGAGGAGAGGAUCUUAGGGCAGCGUAUUCUGGGGAAUGAUUAGGGUUGGGGGUCGUUUGGAAUAAAAAAGGCAAGAACGAACAACGGCCAGGAUUUGAUAGGUUUUGGGUCGGGUAGGGGUAAUUAGAGCCUGGGUCAGGUUAUUCUAUUAGAAAUUGGGCUGGGGUUGGGUUAAAAUUGAGGCUAAAAUUGAAAUGCAAUCUAGCUAUAUUUAAAAUAGCCCAUUUAAUCCCAUAUAAUUUAUAAUAAAUA
RNAcentral lists this long non-coding RNA (1686 nucleotides) under Nicotiana tabacum (common tobacco). Its description in RNAcentral is "long non-coding RNA (NTAB_LNC002181)". Lineage: Eukaryota; Viridiplantae; Streptophyta; Magnoliopsida; Solanales; Solanaceae. The record is from RNAcentral.